AGCAGUCGCAGUGUGUGAUUUAGUGUAACAUCACUGAACAGAGCAACAACAAAGGAAUAAAAUCUCCAUCUACUGACGGCAGCCGCACACACUCCUGCUUAAUCUACACCUCUUUUAAACUAUUGAUAAAAGAUGAGAUGUGAGGGAGAUUAAUGAGCUAAAUACUGGUUAGGAAGAGGGGUUAAUGCGCCCGUUCGGUCUGGUGGCCAUUUUGAAAUGAUACAAGCCUUUAACAAUUUUACGUGAAGGUGCUGAAUCAUUCAAUUUUGAGUCGGUUUGUAUUUAAUUCAUUAUACCGCUAUAAUCUAAUAAGGGUCAGGUGUCUUCUUCACCCUUUUUCAUAAUAAUGUCAAAAAUGAUGGAGAGCUCGAGCCUGAGAUUGGGAUCCAGUCUCCACACAAAUGCAUUUCAAGUUUGGAAAUCAGAACUACUGCAUUGAUGGAGAUGGAGAUGGAGAUGGAGAUGGUGAUGGAGGCAGAGAUCUAAUGGAGAAGCUGCUGUUUGUGUCUGAGCGAGAAUGACGUGUCCCGCAGACUGGUCAUAAAUCACCGGGCACGCGCGCUGUGAGCGCCGUCAUUUCUCCCGUGUACCGAAGACCGGAGAGGAAAAAGAGAUGUAUCUUGGGGCACGAGCCGGGAGUCAACACGCCGCGUGCUGCUUAGGGUUUCAUUUGAAUACCGUAUCUGCUAGCUGAAGCUGACAACAAAUCAAUCAGGUGGCAGGUUGCGCUCGGGGUCUCGGAGCGUUUUCAUCAGACAGCAGGACGUCGUUAACAUUCUGCACCAACGCCAGCUCAGCUGCUCACUUCACCAUUCAUCUCACUCACAUUCUUCUCCUUCAUUAUUCCCAAACACUUCAUCUUCUUCUUCUGCUGCUGCUACUUUUUUUUAGCAUUUCAUGUCAUUUUUUGAAGAAUCCACCAUUUGAUCCUUGACAUUUGUUUGAAGAAAAUCUAAUAAAGACUUAUUGAAAUUAUUAACAAACAUUAACCCUAGACUAUAAGUUGUAGUCAAAAAUCAAUUAAUUAAUUAUGAAUCAAUUAACAGGUAUCUAAUUAGCAGGGUUUUAUAAAUGAAGUGCUCAGAAAUACUUCUAUUAGGUUAAUCUGAUUAACAACAGUUAUUAAUAUUAUACAGUUUAUUAGGAACACCUGCACACAUUCUUGUCUAAUCAGAUAACCACUCUGUACUCUCGUGUUGAGCAGAAAAGCAUCUCAGACUGAACAUCGUGUCAAACCUUCAGGUAGAUGAGAAACAAGAUUAUCCUUCAGCAGCCGUCAGCAGGAACUGUGUGAUGCAUGUGAUCAUCAUAACAUCUUGCGUGAUCCACAUCCGGAAGGGUCUGAGGUAUGAGCUGGGAGAAAAACCCAGGAUCGGUAUUUAGCUAUUUUGGAAAUGAUUGUGAAGAAAUAUAAUAAUAAUGUGAAUGAAUCGUUAUCUGUGAUUUAUAGCGGUCCUUUUCUAAGGAAAAAAAAUCAUGAGAACAAAAAUUAUUUCUGGUUUUUUUUUUUCCUCUUUCUGAUUUUGCGUGAAAGAUCGAGGUCGUGUCACUAAUCCCAAAGUCAAGGUGGGUUUAUUAAAGAUUAAU
This is a long non-coding RNA of Tachysurus fulvidraco (yellow catfish), 1587 nucleotides long. RefSeq lists it as uncharacterized. NCBI's taxonomy places the organism in Eukaryota, Metazoa, Chordata, Actinopteri, Siluriformes, Bagridae. The transcript is spliced from 3 exons. The record is from RefSeq and is a predicted model, not a curated record.